RNAcentral lists this ribosomal RNA (253 nucleotides) under uncultured bacterium. Its description in RNAcentral is "partial 16S ribosomal RNA". It matches the Rfam family "Bacterial small subunit ribosomal RNA", at positions 524 to 776 of the family's 1533-position model. The record is from RNAcentral.
UACAGAGGGUGCGAGCGUUAAUCGGAAUUACUGGGCGUAAAGCGUGCGUAGACGGUUAUUUAAGUCGGAUGUGAAAGCCCCGGGCUCAACCUGGGAAUUGCAUUCGAGACUGAAUAGCUAGGGUGCGGUAGAGGGAAGCGGAAUUUCCGGUGUAGCGGUGAAAUGCGUAGAUAUCGGAAGGAACAUCAGUGGCGAAAGCGGCUUCCUGGACCAGCACCGACGUUCAGGCACGAAAGCGUGGGGAGCGAAACGG